GCACUGGUGGUUUAGUGGUAAAAUUGGACAUUGCCAGCUCUUGAAUUUGUCUGGCCCCGGGUUCGAUUCCCGGCCAGUGCA
This 81-nucleotide transfer RNA is filed under the name Rhodotorula toruloides. Its description in RNAcentral is "tRNA-Gly (GCC) cove score=58.79". It matches the Rfam family "tRNA". Rfam says of the family: Transfer RNA (tRNA) molecules are approximately 80 nucleotides in length. Their secondary structure includes four short double-helical elements and three loops (D, anti-codon, and T loops). Lineage: Eukaryota; Fungi; Basidiomycota; Microbotryomycetes; Sporidiobolales; Sporidiobolaceae. The record is from RNAcentral.